GACGAACGCUGGCGGCGUGCCUAAUACAUGCAAGUAGAACGCUGAAGGAGGAGCUUGCUUCUCUGGAUGAGUUGCGAACGGGUGAGUAACGCGUAGGUAACCUGCCUGGUAGCGGGGGAUAACUAUUGGAAACGAUAGCUAAUACCGCAUAAUAGUAGAUGUUGCAUGACAUUUACUUAAAAGGUGCAAUUGCAUCACUACCAGAUGGACCUGCGUUGUAUUAGCUAGUUGGUGGGGUAACGGCUCACCAAGGCGACGAUACAUAGCCGACCUGAGAGGGUGAUCGGCCACACUGGGACUGAGACACGGCCCAGACUCCUACGGGAGGCAGCAGUAGGGAAUCUUCGGCAAUGGACGAAAGUCUGACCGAGCAACGCCGCGUGAGUGAAGAAGGUUUUCGGAUCGUAAAGCUCUGUUGUAAGAGAAGAACGAGUGUGAGAGUGGAAAGUUCACACUGUGACGGUAUCUUACCAGAAAGGGACGGCUAACUACGU
RNAcentral lists this ribosomal RNA (494 nucleotides) under uncultured bacterium. RNAcentral's name for it is "partial 16S ribosomal RNA". It matches the Rfam family "Bacterial small subunit ribosomal RNA", at positions 28 to 506 of the family's 1533-position model. The record is from RNAcentral.